UACGGAGGGAGCUAGCGUUGCUCGGAAUCACUGGGCGUAAAGCGCGCGUAGGCGGACUCUUAAGUCGGUGGUGAAAUCCUGGAGCUCAACUCCAGAACUGCCUUCGAUACUGAGAGUCUCGAGUCCGGGAGAGGUGAGUGGAACUGCGAGUGUAGAGGUGAAAUUCGUAGAUAUUCGCAAGAACACCAGUGGCGAAGGCGGCUCACUGGCCCGGUACUGACGCUGAGGUGCGAAAGCGUGGGGAGCAAACAGG
This 253-nucleotide ribosomal RNA is filed under the name uncultured bacterium. RNAcentral's name for it is "partial 16S ribosomal RNA". It matches the Rfam family "Bacterial small subunit ribosomal RNA", at positions 524 to 776 of the family's 1533-position model. The record is from RNAcentral.